UACGAAGGGUGCAAGCGUUACUCGGAAUCACUGGGUUUAAAGGGUGCGUAGGCGGAUUAGUAAGUCCGUGGUGAAAUCUCCGAGCUUAACUCGGAAACUGCCGUGGAUACUAUUAGUCUUGAAUGUUGUGGAGGUUAGCGGAAUAUGUCAUGUAGCGGUGAAAUGCAUAGAUAUGACAUAGAACACCAAUUGCGAAGGCAGCUGGCUACACAAAUAUUGACGCUGAUGCACGAAAGCGUGGGGAGCAAACAGG
Molecule: ribosomal RNA, 253 nt
Filed under: uncultured bacterium
Lineage: Bacteria
Description: partial 16S ribosomal RNA
Rfam family: Bacterial small subunit ribosomal RNA
Source: RNAcentral